RNAcentral lists this ribosomal RNA (253 nucleotides) under uncultured bacterium. Its description in RNAcentral is "partial 16S ribosomal RNA". It matches the Rfam family "Bacterial small subunit ribosomal RNA", at positions 524 to 776 of the family's 1533-position model. The record is from RNAcentral.
CACGGGGGGAGCAAGCGUUGUUCGGAAUCACUGGGCGUAAAGGGUGUCUAGGCGGCCAGAUAAGUCCGCUGUGAAAUCUCGAGGCUCAACUUCGAGCUGUCGGUGGAAACUGUCUGGCUAGAGUCCGGAAGAGGAGAAUGGAAUUCCUGGUGUAGCGGUGAAAUGCGCAGAUAUCAGGAAGAACACCCGUGGCGAAGGCGGUUCUCUGGGACGGUACUGACGCUGAGACGCGAAAGCGUGGGGAGCGAACAGG